Molecule: ribosomal RNA, 228 nt
Filed under: Fructobacillus tropaeoli
Lineage: Bacteria; Bacillati; Bacillota; Bacilli; Lactobacillales; Lactobacillaceae
Description: partial 16S ribosomal RNA
Rfam family: Bacterial small subunit ribosomal RNA
Source: RNAcentral
UAGGAAAUGAUCUUUACAUGACGGUACCAUACCAGAAAGGGACGGCUAAAUACGUGCCAGCAGCCGCGGUAAUACGUAUGUCCCGAGCGUUAUCCGGAUUUAUUGGGCGUAAAGCGAGCGCAGACGGUUCGAUAAGUCUGAAGUGAAAGCCCACAGCUCAACUGUGGAAGUGCUUUGGAAACUGUCGAACUUGAGUGCAGUAGAGGUAAGUGGAACUCCAUGUGUAGC